Molecule: ribosomal RNA, 650 nt
Filed under: Colubotelson sp.
Lineage: Eukaryota; Metazoa; Arthropoda; Malacostraca; Isopoda; Phreatoicidae
Description: partial 28S large subunit ribosomal RNA
Rfam family: Eukaryotic large subunit ribosomal RNA
Source: RNAcentral
UUGAGCGUACAUGUUGGUACCCGAAAGAUGGUGAUCUAUGCCUGGCCAGGAUGAAGCCAGAGGAAACUCUGGUGGAGGUCCCGUAGCGGUUCUGACGUGCAAAUCGAUCGUCGGAGCUGGGUAUAGGGGCGAAAGACCAAUCGAACCAUCUAGUAGCUGGUUCCCUCCGAAGUUUCCCUCAGGAUAGUUGGCAUUCGCUAAAAUGGCGAUAACGCGCGGCCGGGAAUGGCUGGCGGGCCGCUUGCUUCGGCGGAGGGGUCGCUUGGCGGCGGCGUAAGGAGCGGGAUGGGCUGACGCCUACCUCGUUUUCCCGAAACCGCCUAACCUCGCGCCCUCUCUCGUUCGGGUAAGGUCUUGGUCCGUCUUAGCCCUCUCGCGUCGUUCGCGUAACCCGAGCAAUUUCGAAAGACUUUCAUCUUGUAAAGAGAAUGAUUAGGGGUCCUUGGGGACGAAAUGUCCUCAGCCCAUUCUCAAACUCUAAACGGGUGAGAAACCGGGCUUGCUUCAUUGAAGCCGCGGUUUUCGAAUCUCGAAUGCCUAAUGGGCCAUUUUUGGUAAGCAGAACUGGCGAUGUGGGAUGAACCAAACGCCGAGUUAAGGGGCCUAAGUGUUGGCCGAUUUCAGAUCCCGUGAAAGGCGUUGGUCGCUUA